GACGAACGCUGGCGGCGUGCUUAACACAUGCAAGUCGAACGAAGAGCGAUGGAAGCUUGCUUCUAUCAAUCUUAGUGGCGAACGGGUGAGUAACGCGUAAUCAACCUGCCCUUCAGAGGGGGACAACAGUUGGAAACGACUGCUAAUACCGCAUACGAUCUAAUCUCGGCAUCGAGGAUAGAUGAAAGGUGGCCUCUACAUGUAAGCUAUCACUGAAGGAGGGGAUUGCGUCUGAUUAGCUAGUUGGAGGGGUAACGGCCCACCAAGGCGAUGAUCAGCAGCAGGUCUGAGAGGAUGAACGGCCACAUUGGGACUGAGACACGGCCCAGACUCCUACGGGAGGCAGCAGUGGGGAAUCUUCCGCAAUGGACGAAAGUCUGACGGAGCAACGCCGCGUGAGCGAUGACGGCCUUCGGGUUGUAAAGCUCUGUUAAUCGGGACGAAAGGCCUUCUUGCGAAUAGUGAGAAGGAUUGACGGUACCGGAAGAGAAAGCCACGGCUAACUACGUG
RNAcentral lists this ribosomal RNA (510 nucleotides) under uncultured bacterium. Its description in RNAcentral is "partial 16S ribosomal RNA". It matches the Rfam family "Bacterial small subunit ribosomal RNA", at positions 28 to 507 of the family's 1533-position model. The record is from RNAcentral.